UUGAGGCUUCAAAGCUCUGAAGCCAGGCAUUGACUUCUCUCUAACUAUGAAAGUCCUUCCUACAGAAGAUGCC
This 73-nucleotide microRNA precursor is filed under the name Mustela putorius furo (domestic ferret). RNAcentral's name for it is "miRNA (ENSMPUG00000022021.1)". Lineage: Eukaryota; Metazoa; Chordata; Mammalia; Carnivora; Mustelidae. The record is from RNAcentral.